Molecule: ribosomal RNA, 615 nt
Filed under: Salmonella enterica
Lineage: Bacteria; Pseudomonadati; Pseudomonadota; Gammaproteobacteria; Enterobacterales; Enterobacteriaceae
Also listed under: 1 other name
Description: partial 23S ribosomal RNA
Rfam family: Bacterial large subunit ribosomal RNA
Source: RNAcentral
UGGUCGGACAUCAGGAGGUUAGUGCAAUGGCAUAAGCCAGCUUGACUGCGAGCGUGACGGCGCGAGCAGGUGCGAAAGCAGGUCAUAGUGAUCCGGUGGUUCUGAAUGGAAGGGCCAUCGCUCAACGGAUAAAAGGUACUCCGGGGAUAACAGGCUGAUACCGCCCAAGAGUUCAUAUCGACGGCGGUGUUUGGCACCUCGAUGUCGGCUCAUCACAUCCUGGGGCUGAAGUAGGUCCCAAGGGUAUGGCUGUUCGCCAUUUAAAGUGGUACGCGAGCUGGGUUUAGAACGUCGUGAGACAGUUCGGUCCCUAUCUGCCGUGGGCGCUGGAGAACUGAGGGGGGCUGCUCCUAGUACGAGAGGACCGGAGUGGACGCAUCACUGGUGUUCGGGUUGUCAUGCCAAUGGCACUGCCCGGUAGCUAAAUGCGGAAGAGAUAAGUGCUGAAAGCAUCUAAGCACGAAACUUGCCCCGAGAUGAGUUCUCCCUGAGACUUUAGGUCUCCUGAAGGAACGUUGAAGACGACGACGUUGAUAGGCCGGGUGUGUAAGCGCAGCGAUGCGUUGAGCUAACCGGUACUAAUGAACCGUGAGGCUUAACCUUACAACGCCGAAG